UGACACUGCGCAAGUCCUCGGUUCGGAC
This 28-nucleotide small RNA is filed under the name Bombyx mori (domestic silkworm). Its description in RNAcentral is "ovarian small RNA-31352". The record is from RNAcentral. Lineage: Eukaryota; Metazoa; Arthropoda; Insecta; Lepidoptera; Bombycidae.